This 74-nucleotide transfer RNA is filed under the name Bacteroidaceae bacterium. RNAcentral's name for it is "tRNA-Arg". It matches the Rfam family "tRNA". Rfam says of the family: Transfer RNA (tRNA) molecules are approximately 80 nucleotides in length. Their secondary structure includes four short double-helical elements and three loops (D, anti-codon, and T loops). Further hydrogen bonds mediate the characteristic L-shaped molecular structure. tRNAs have two regions of fundamental functional importance: the anti-codon, which is responsible for specific mRNA codon recognition, and the 3' end, to which the tRNAs corresponding amino acid is attached (by aminoacyl-tRNA synthetases). tRNAs cope with the degeneracy of the genetic code in two manners: having more than one tRNA (with a specific anti-codon) for a particular amino acid; and 'wobble' base-pairing, i.e. permitting non-standard base-pairing at the 3rd anti-codon position. The record is from RNAcentral. Lineage: Bacteria; Pseudomonadati; Bacteroidota; Bacteroidia; Bacteroidales; Bacteroidaceae. RNAcentral also lists the same sequence under 1 other name.
GGCUUCGUAGCUCAGCUGGAUAGAGCAACAGCCUUCUAAGCUGUGGGUCUUGGGUUCGAAUCCCAACGAAGUCA